This 794-nucleotide ribosomal RNA is filed under the name uncultured bacterium. Its description in RNAcentral is "bacterial SSU rRNA". It matches the Rfam family "Bacterial small subunit ribosomal RNA", at positions 8 to 796 of the family's 1533-position model. The record is from RNAcentral.
AGAGUUUGAUCAUGGCUCAGAAUGAACGCUGGCGGCGUGCCUAACACAUGCAAGUCGGAUGUGCCGCAAGGUGCAUGGCAGACGGGUGAGUAACGCGUGGGGAACCUACCUCUUUGUGGGGAAUAACGUUCCGAAAGGAAUGGUAAUACCGCAUGAGACCGUUGGCUGGGAUGCUGACGGUGAAACCCGGGGACCGCAAGGCCUGGGGCAAGGAGAGGGUCCUGCGUCUGAUUAGCUAGUUGGCGGGGUAACGGCCCACCAAGGCGUCGAUCAGUAGCCGGCCUGAGAGGGUGAUCGGCCACACUGGAACUGAGACACGGUCCAGACUCCUACGGGAGGCAGCAGUGGGGAAUUUUGCGCAAUGGGCGAAAGCCUGACGCAGCAACGCCGCGUGGGUGAUGAAGGUCUUCGGAUCGUAAAACCCUGUCGUCAGGGACGAAGGUUGUAUGUCUAAUAGAUGUGCAACUUGACGGUACCUGGAGAGGAAGCCCCGGCUAACUCUGUGCCAGCAGCCGCGGUAAUACAGAGGGGGCAAGCGUUAUUCGGAAUUAUUGGGCGUAAAGGGCGCGUAGGCGGUGUCUUAAGUGAGAUGUGUAAUCCCCGAGCUUAACUUGGGAACUGCAUCUCAGACUGGGGCGCUAGAGUGCUGGAGAGGGUGGUAGAAUUCCACGUGUAGCGGUGAAAUGCGUAGAGAUGUGGAGGAAUACCAGUGGCGAAGGCGGCCACCUGGACAGUAACUGACGCUGAGGCGCGAAAGUGUGGGGAGCAAACAGGAUUAGAUACCCUGGUAGUCC